RNAcentral lists this ribosomal RNA (103 nucleotides) under Pteropus alecto (black flying fox). Lineage: Eukaryota; Metazoa; Chordata; Mammalia; Chiroptera; Pteropodidae. The record is from RNAcentral.
GUCUACGGCCAUGCCACCCUGAUCUCGGAAGAUAAGCAGGCAGGGUUGGGCCUGGUUAGUGCUUGGAUGGGAGACCACCUAGGAAGACCAGGUGCUGUAGGCG